UACGUCGAGCAUCUUUCUUAUGCAUGCACAUAACAACAUGUUUGAUCUGCAAAAACAUAUCUGCUUCAAGGCUCCGAGAAUAUCAUCUCAUCGCAGGGUUGCAAACAGUGUAGCGUGGUCAUUGAUUGAUAGUGGCUCUGAAACUUCACCCAGCCAGGCUGGCCAUGUCAUGCCUCUGGUGGUCAUUGCAUGUACAAGGGCUCCUGUUGUGAUACAAACUACUGCUGCCCUGGUGGAGGUAACAAGUACUGUCGCUUCAGUGAAUGGAAGAAGUACUGAGUGUCCUAUCGUGGUAACCAUUACUAGAGCUCUGUGAAUCGUACAGGGCGUGAAAAAUCAUUCAAAAAAUAUCAUUAAGAUGCUAAAACAUCAACACAAGGCAAUAGCUA
Molecule: long non-coding RNA, 389 nt
Organism: Hippocampus comes (tiger tail seahorse)
Lineage: Eukaryota; Metazoa; Chordata; Actinopteri; Syngnathiformes; Syngnathidae
Exons: 3
Source: RefSeq, a predicted model, not a curated record